Molecule: long non-coding RNA, 6689 nt
Filed under: Sorghum bicolor (sorghum)
Lineage: Eukaryota; Viridiplantae; Streptophyta; Magnoliopsida; Poales; Poaceae
Description: long non-coding RNA (SBIC_LNC003681)
Source: RNAcentral
UUGCAACGCUAAUAUAUACUUUAUUCUGCAACUGGUCCAUCUCAUGGGAAGACAGAUUAUUGGCAACUUGAACCCUCCACACCCAUGACAACCAUAAAAGGAACGCAUCUCAUAUCGACGCAAAGUUGGGAGUUGCCGGGAAACGCAGGUUAUUCCAUACCACAAACAUUGUUCACUGGUACAAAACGGACAGACCGUUAAAACUGCGAGAAAUGUCACAAAUCGGCACCGUUACAUGGCAGAGUACAUUCCAAAGGGCAACAACACAUCACAAAAUUGUGGUACAAGGGCCGCCAGCCGUGAGAAGCAAAUGCAGAAGAAUAUUGAUGACCAAAAACCACUUCUUAUCUAGCUAGCUUCCUCCACACUGUGCGGCCACGGUUGAUCUCGUCCCCAUUGGCUGCAAAUCUUAAGCAAUGCAGGAACUGCUGCCGCUCUUCUUUGUGAGGCGCUGCGGAAGCAGAGCCGUUCAUGCUUUUCUCCUCUCCUUCCUCUAUGUAAGUAAGCGAAUCAACUAUGUCAUCAUGUUGACAUUCUCUUCUAUAGUCGAGAGUGAUUGUUUGUAACUCGUGUGUAUCAAUUAUAUCUUGAGGUAUACUCUGCAAUUUGGAAGGUAGACAAAGAACUAUUAGAAACCAUCGCAAAUCACACAAAGAUGCUAAUUCCAUCUAGAAGGGUAAAUAGUAAUAGUAAGGAACUAGCCAUUGCAAGCUCUACUCAGAUUAGAUAUCCCCACAAAAACCAAAGUUUAAAAAGUGGGAUCAGGAGUAAGAAAAGUCUAGUAGAACACUUACUUCCAGGACCCAACCAAUGUAAGUAACAUUAUUGACAUGUUGGUUCAUGUCCAGAUCAGCUCUUCUUGGCUGCAGUUUGGGAAUCAAUGUCUGUGAGCACUGAAAUAGUAGUAUUGGUGCGCUAAGAACUGGAUUAUACACGAAGGGGACAACUGACCACUAGUCCUAGUCUUGAGUAUUGUGCAGGAUCUGAAAGAUUCGGAAUCUUCUUCAAACUGCCAUUAUUUUCCUCUGGGAAUGCUAACCUGCAUAAUGGUAACUUGUUACAACUCUUAUAACUACAGCAUGAGAAUACAGUGACAAUCAUUACAAAAACUCAAUAACCAAAAAAAUUGCUGUUAGACUGAUUAUACGUAAAAGUUGUUCAAGCUAUUUCAAAUAUUCAGAUUAGCAUGAAUUCAUCCAAUGAACUACAGGUAACGACAGUUAAAUGACCCAACUGAGUGUAAAACUUCAAAGUUCAAAUAGUCAUGGGUUCCAAAAGGGCAGAGAGCUACUUGGGCACUUUUGACACAUGGAUGUAUGGAAAUAACAAGAGUGCAUGUCUAUGCAGAAUGUUGAGAACAAAAGUGAGUCGCUUUACCUUGGAGUCUUUGGACAAUGUAUAAACACCUCAUCCCUUACGUCAUCACUGACUCGCUGAAGUCUCCGUGUAUUUUGGUUCAUCAUGACCCACUUGCUAGAAAAUAAGCAAUAUGACUCGGUUACUUUUACUGUACACUGUGAUAAAAGAUACACAAAAUUUUGAACUAAAAGGUAAUAAGUAAUGAAUCUGAUAGGCCCAACACUGCUGCGCUGCUAAAGCAGCAUAAAUUAAUCCCAAUUCCUAAAUGUCAAGGGUGCUUUCAGUAGAGACAGCAAGAACAGAUAUGCCCAGCAUAUUCAAGUGAAUGCUAAGUGCAACCCAGAGGAACAGGCUUGAUAAAAUUGGCAGAAGUUUACUAUUCGCACCGAUCACCUAAAGGUCUACAUCACUCACCUAAGGAGGUGAGAAUGACUUUUUCUGUUUUUUGCUAGGAGAUAGAAAUGGGCGUGAAAUGUAACGGCUAACAUGCUAUCAGACUAAAAAAAAUAUGACACAGUGACUGACAAAUUUUAGGUCCUGCAUUACACUCAAGAAGCACUCAGCAAGUACCUGGUAGCUCUUCCAAUAACUUCACCAUUAGCCAGGUCCUUGAGGAUCCAAUCACGACGAGUACCAAUUCUUCCAUCUUCUUGGCACCAUGUUUCGAUCUCAACAACAUCACCCCUACCAGCAGCAGAGUUACCAGUCAGGAUCGAAUCUUACCAAAAAAGGGAAAAGGUGGGGAAAAAAAGGGUUCAAUGUAAGCUUGAAAAACUACCAGGCUGGGUACUUGUAGAUCUCAAUGUGCAUUCGAUUCGUCACCCAAAUAAGCCCAAGUUUUCUCAUUGUAGUAGUUGUGGCGAAGCCAUCAGUGGAGAACCCAACACUUUGUGCAUGGUUACAUCCUACCUCCUGUAUUUACGAAAAUGCUUACCGUUAAAGAUAUUGAAAAUUACAGGGAGUAAAAAAAAUAAGGAUACACUCGUUUAUAGUAUAUGCCUUGUAUAGAUGGCAGGAAUAUUGAUACUUAAAUCAGUUGAUAAAAUGGGAACACGUGGAGUUGCCCUUGUCCCAUUGGUGUGAUUUUAGAUUUUAAACUUGGAUCACAAACCAAUUCCACCACCACUAACUCCAGCGAUCUGAACCCAAUAUAAAACUUCGUUUGCGCAUGCCAAAGCAAGCACAUCCAGGAAAUUGGUGACAUCAAGUCGGCAACAACCACCCCUGCACGGCUGCACCCCCAUGUUCUUCUCAGUAGUCAGCCCUCAUGACUUAAUUCGCAGUUGCCUAUAGCCCAUAGGCAUAGGCAAUGCCUAUGAGAUAUUUCGGCACACUAAUUAAAGGCUCUUAUAGCUUCUCCCAGAGCUGGCAGACGAAGAAAGUUGCCCUAGGUUUUAUAGAAUUUUGCAGUGCCCAUUUUGUUGCAUGCACACUAGGGGCAAAUUUAUGUGAGCGAUUUGUCACUUAGCAACACUGACAAGACCGGGACAGUUAGCAUUUUAAUCCACCAAACACGAACUAAGCUACACCCUAGCUCUAACUGAGCAAAGGGCAUGACACAGAAUUGUGGAGUAACAAUAUUCCUCUUUCACAAUCCAAUCCUAGCACAGAAGAGGAGCUCCGAUUGUACCACAAGUUUGGAGCGUUCUAAGUUCAGAUCGAGACAUCCGACCUCUUGAAUCGAGGCAUAACCCGAAUCCAAUAAAUAAGCUUCACGCCACAAAUCUGGCCUCCGGAGAGCACAAAUCCGGGCUUUCGGAAGCAGAGAUCCCACGGCACGAGCUCGCGAGCGUACCUGGAGGAGAUUGGCGAUGGUCUCGACGGUGGCCGUCUUGUUGAUGCCCACCUCGUAGCAGCGCACGAUGAAGCUCUCCUUGUACGAGAGCCCGUCCUCCAGGAGGCUCCCCAGCCGCAGCCGCUCGGCCAGACUGGGCCGCGCGUCACCCCCUUCCGCCUUAGCCGCCGUGGCAGCCGCAUGGCCCGGCGACGCCGCCUCGAUCCCGGGCACCUGCGGCGCACCCCGCGCGCACCGCACCACCACCCCGGGCGCCGCCGCCGGAGGCGACUCCCGCCUUCCGUGGUGGCGGAGCGGCGCGCGGCCGCAUUGCGGUGGCGUGUGGCAGCGCAGCAUGGGGGCGGCCUCGUCCCUUCGAGGAGGAUCGUUGGCCGGCCGGCCGCCGCCGCCGCCGCCGCCGCAGCCGAUGCGGGGUUUUGGUUUACACGGGCGGAGCGGAGUGGGGUUGGCGCGGUGGGCAGCCAAGCCGGGCGCACUGCGCAUAUAGUGGAUAUGAAGAGGGGCCAGGGACGGUGGCGGGCGGUGGACCGGGCGCACGGGGCGAUACAAACGAGGUAUGAGGACGGGCUGGACGACGUGCUGGCAGUGGAGAACAGGAGGGAACGAAGAACUCUCUGGACCCGGUGCAUGCAGCGGCGGUGGUCCCCUACUGUAAAGGGGUGGUGAAUAUGCAGCGAGAAAACGAAAAUAAUAGUUUUCGAUUUUCGGAGAUCGUCUCCCAGUUUUUUUCGAUUUUCAGACCUAAAUAAAAAUAAAAGUGAUAAUAGAAAAAUAAAAAUAAAAAUAAUAAAAUAACCAGAAACGAAUAUAAAAAUGUUUUUCCCAUGUUCCGAUCAUUUCGAAAGUUACCGUAUUUACCUGAUAACUUACCCCGAUUUAAAGAUCUUGAAUCCUACAAACUAUAUAGGGUCUGUUUGGCACAGCUCACAAUAGCUUCAUGAGCUGUUGUAAGCUGUUAUUUUGCCAAACACUUAUUUUCAAAAUAGAUUUAUGGAUAAAGCUGUUUUUCUCCUCCUCUCACAAGGACAUAAGUGAGGAUAAAGCUAAAAAAGAGUAGCUUAUUACAGCUCUCUCCUUCAUCUCUCUUUCAAUUAUGCAUGAAGUAGUUGGUGAAGCUAUUUUGCCAAACACUUUUUUUUAAAACAGCUCAGCUUCAUCUAGAAAGUCACUCAUGAAACUAUUUUCUAAAAAAAAAAUUGAGUUGUGCCAAACAAAUCCAUAAUAUAUAUACUUUAGGUCCAGUUGACCUACAUCUAAGCAUGUCAUCUGCGUACACAAACAUAUAACACAUAUUUUUUCAAAAGGAAUUAUAUGUUGUACGUAUUUCGUUCGUAUGGGAACAAAAAGGUAAUCGUCCAAUCAUAUAUUGCAUCCGUGACUUUAGCUGGCAUAAACACUAAUAGGGUUUAGCUUGUUUGAGAUCUAAGAUGAUAUGAACUGUGGUUUUAACUUAUGGUCUUACCAAUUGUAGCUUUAUUUAUUAUUAUCAUGUGAGAUAGGUCAAGUUAUAUGGAUUCUGAAUACGUAUUUAUAUUUUUUUAGAACAUCAUUCUCAUAGAUUCUGAUCGUUAUCGAUGUAUUUUUCGAUCGACUGCUAACAUUUUAGAAUUUACUAGAAUAUCAGUGUCAUAUUCGUUUCCGACAAUAUCAUAUUGAUUUCAUUUUUGAGAAAAAAAUGUAAAUUGAAAUUUAUUUAGCCUCUUAUCGAUCGCUUCUGAUCGUUUUCAUCCCUAUGAUAUGGGUGUGUUUAGUUCCUAGCCUAUUUCCUAGGUAGCAGUCUAAGACUGGGUAGUUUAAAUCAUUUUUUAUGGAGCCAAUCUCUAGUUACUUGUUAGCUGCAUUGCUUAAUCCUGUUUAGUAAAGGAUAUGUUUGGUUGUCUCAUUUGCUUCGUAUAAAAUCUCCUCCUUUUAAGAUGGUAAUUUCACCCUCUUUAGGGCAUUUUGUUAAACAGGUGGAGGGCAUGCUUCAUCAUCGUCCUCUUCGUCUUGCUCCUCGUCGGCCAUCGUCUAUGGGUUCAUUCGUCGCGGGAGGUGUUCGUCUAUCUCCUUUCCCUCACGCUCAUCUUUCGCAACCGGUGUUCGUCUACAACCUCUCUCUCACGCUCACCAUCUGCAAUCGAUGUUCACCUCAUGCUUACCAUUGACGAGGGGAGGGUGUAGCACCUUGACUCUACCAAAGGUGCUUGUGUUCAUCUCCGACGAUGAGAUCUAACGCACUUUCAACCAUGGCACACGUGGAAGGAUGGAGGAUGACGACGCAUGCGGAAGGUAGAGGCCCACGUGGUGACGCAAUCCUGAGCACAAGCCUAGCUAGGGGAAAUGGCCAUCCACCUCAUUUCCACCUAGCUGGCUUGGGCAUGGUCGGUGCAUAACUACUUGAACCUGGUUUGUAGGCUUAUUCGGUCAUCCAAACAAGUACAAGUUGGGUCCAUAGAGCCUAGACAGUAGAGGAGGGAACUAGGGAACCAAACAACUCUCGUGUCAUCGUGCUAAUGCAUCAGCAUGUGUAUAGCACGAACAAAGAUGGCAACAAGACCAUUUUAGAUCGGGUAGAGUCUAUGUCUGAUCUGAGUCUAAAAUUAUUCUCAGAUGAUAAUUCAUCCUUGCUAUCAAAUUUAAUAUUUUCUCAAAACCUAAUUGGUUGUUAAAACCCUAAAACCCACCACUAUAUGUAAAUAUAAUAAAAGCGAUAGAGACUUCCUCGCAACAUACACAAUAUUAUAUAUAUUACUUACACACAUAAAGAGGGAACAAAUACCACAUAAUUUCAUGGCUCUACUUAAAACAAAUUUAAUAGCUUACAAAGAUAUGAAUUUUUAUUUAAAAUGACUACUUUGGACCUCUAUUGAGUAUCCGUGGAUGAAAACUGAAACCCGAAACAGAAUGCGCCAAAUUUUGGAUCCGCGAACCCAAAAAUUGUGGGAGAAAUUACACCCGACCUGCACCCACGGGACUCGAAACCACCCUACUAGCAUUCUUGCAUAGGGUACUCUCUCCAUUUGUAUAUUUAAAUAUAUUUACUAUAAAAAUAUAUGGCGUAUUGGCGUGGUUAAUCUAACUGCGGCUGUUAUUCUUACAGUUGCGGCUGGAACUGCAACUUGUACAUACAUAGCUAUGAGAUGCAGCCGCUGCAGACCCAGCCGCAAACCUAAAAAAAAAAAAAAAAAAAAAUUCAGAAGCGAGCAGGCUGGGCGUUAUUUGGUAUCAUAAUAUUAGGAUUAUUUUAAUAAUAUCUGUACUCCCUCCAUUCUAAAUUGAAAAUUGUUUUGUUUUUCAGAUAAAAAGCUUUUUUGCUAUGUAUUCAAAUAUCUAUUAUAUUUAUGUAUAUAGUAAAGAACUAUUAUGUAUUUUAAAAAGUCAAAAUAAUUUAUAAUUUCAAAUAAAGAGAAAAACUGAAAGAAUACUUUAGAGCACACUGCAGUAAACAGUGCCAAGCCUUCUCCUCCGCGGUAAAACGGGCAGACCGUUACAACUGCAAGGAAUGUCACAAAUCGGCAUCGUUACAUGGCAGAGUACAUUCCAAAGGGCAACAAUA